GCCCUAAAUCCUCUCAACUGGGAUACCAAACCCGUAACACAUAAUGCUGUACAUUCACUUGGCUUUGACCCAAUCUUACCGGUUAACCAUGUUAACCCCAAUAACUCACAACCCAAAAUCCCUUAAUAGCGAGGGACUCGAACCUCCCUAGGGACCGUCUUCUGGGGGAAACUUUACCACACCCAGUGGUAACCAACUCCGGAGCGCACCGCCCGAGGGGGAGCUACCUCCCUCAAGCCAAGACUUAUCGUGAGUAUCGAUCAAUCCUCAACUUGAGGAUUCAUAGCCACUCGUCACAAUGCCAUUGUCAUAAUAGGUUUCUACCUAUUUAAUCAUGCCACUCUCUAUGUCAUCUUGGUCCAAUGCCACUCUUGGUUAAACUAUGUUUAACAGCUAUAUCCUCUAUGCCAAACAAUGUCUCUAUUGUCAAUAUCGCCUUUGUUUACUAAUGUCCAAGUCCAUCUCUCACAUUCACACAAUAAUAGGGUCCUAACAUACAUGUCCAUUAUGGUUCCACCAUUCUCUAUGUUCAAUUACGUUAGAAACAUGUCAUUGAAAGCAACCAAGGUUCACAUGUACUUAGCCCUAUCAUGCAUGAAUGAUCCAAAAUACAUAUGCUCAAAUACCAUGAGUGUUUGCUAGGUUCAUGACACUAGGUUUACACUAUACU
This 670-nucleotide long non-coding RNA is filed under the name Ananas comosus (pineapple). Its description in RNAcentral is "long non-coding RNA (ACOM_LNC040111)". Lineage: Eukaryota; Viridiplantae; Streptophyta; Magnoliopsida; Poales; Bromeliaceae. The record is from RNAcentral.